GUGUCAGCAGCCGCGGUAAGACGUAGGGGGCCAGCGUUGCUCGGAAUUACUGGGCGUAAAGGGUGCGUAGGCGGGUCUUUAAGUCAGGGGUGAAAUCCUGGAGCUCAACUCCAGAACUGCCUUUGAUACUGAAGAUCUUGAGUUCGGGAGAGGUGAGUGGAACUGCGAGUGUAGAGGUGAAAUUCGUAGAUAUUGGGAAGAACACCGGUGGCGAAGGCGGCUCACUGGCUCGUUUCUGACGCUCAGGCGCGACAGCGUGGGGAUCAAACAGGAUUAGAUACCCUGGUAGUCCACGCCGUAAACGAUGAUUGCUAGCCGUUGGGCAGCUUGCUGUUCAGUGGCGCAGCUAACGCAUUAAGCAAUCCGCCUGGGGAGUACGGGCGCAAGGCUGAAACUCAAAGGAAUUGACGG
Molecule: ribosomal RNA, 411 nt
Filed under: uncultured bacterium
Lineage: Bacteria
Description: bacterial SSU rRNA
Rfam family: Bacterial small subunit ribosomal RNA
Source: RNAcentral